UGUUGCGUUUGCAGGGCUCUGGGCCCAGCCAGCACCCGUUUCCCCUCUGCUAGACAAUAUUCUCUGAUUUCCCCUGGGAUAUUAUCACCACCCUCUUUGUCUGUGUGCAUCAGGUGAGCUGACCCCAUUCCCAGGGGUAAGGCUGGCCAAUCAGAACUUUCCAGGCCCAUGGCUGCAGUGAUUGGUUCAGAGAUGGACACGUGAUCCGAUCCAAGCCCUCAGAACUCAGUUCUCUGGAAUAGAAAGAUGUUGUCGCCUCGAGGUGGCUGAGCUAGGGUGAUAUCAGCCUGGAGUAGCAAGUGGCCACUGUCCCACGGUGACAGCAAAGAGUGUCUGAAAAUACAGCCAAUGUAAGGCAAAGCAGAGCUGAGAGGUGGAGACAGCCGAAAGCACCAAAAGCAUUAUUGUUGCUCCUGGAUCCAGCUGUAUCUGAAGCAGACAUAACCCUGAACUCCUUAGUUAUAUAAGCCAAGAUAUUUUUCUCUCUCGUUCUCUCUUUUAAAACCCUCUUUGGGGUUGGGCUUCCAUUGCUUAAUUGCAAGAAUUGCUGACAAAUGCAUGAGCUUUUUCCUGAAUACAUCUCUUGGCACCUCACUGCCUAGCCCUUCAUGCAUGGCCCUGUGAGAAACUCCCUCCCGGGGAACUGCUCUGAAUAUCUACCCAUGGAGCUGAUGUGCUCAUCUUUCCUCACUCCUGGGUGAUAUGAGUAAUGUUCACUGGCUCUCUCUGCCUUGAGCAACUUUUGAAACAAGGCGGGGAGGGGCAAAUCAAGUAACCUGAAGAAGUCAAAUGGGCCCGAGCUCGUGAGAGCUAAGGCUGGGACUUCAGCCCCAUGGCUGCUCAGCACACAGAGGAUGCUUCUUGAACAUUCUUUGCUUGAUAAUGUAAGGAAGAAUGCUCCACUGUAGGUAAAGACCACAUUUGCUUUAUCCAUUCACCUGCCGAUGGAUACGUAGGUCGUUUCUACAUCCUGGCUGCUGUGAACACAGGAGUGCAGAUAUCUCUUCAAGAUCCUGAUUUCUGUUGGAUGAAGAUUGCUGGAUCAUCAUGCUACAUGAAAUAAGCCAGUCACAGAAGGACAGUUACUGCCCAAUUCCACUUAUAUGAAGUAUCUAAAAUAGGGAAACUCACAGAAGCGGAGAGUAGAGUGGGGGUUCACAGGGGCUGGGGGUAGGGGGAAACGGGAGUUGCUAGUCAACAGGUAUAAAGUUUUGGUUAUGCGAGAUGAAUUAAGUUCUAGAGAUCAUGUCUGUAGUCAACAAUAUUGUAUCGUAUGCUUAAAAAUCUAUGAAAAAGAUCUCCUGUUAACUGCUCUCACUACGAUAGAAAGAGCAUUCAUGAAACAACAUUAUGUGGAGCUUCCGAUGAUAUCAACCUUGAAAAAAAUUUUUAGAGGGUGCCUGGGUGGCUCAGUCGGUUAAGCAUCCAACUCAAUUUCAGCUCAGGUCAUGAUCUUGGGGCCGUGAGAUGGAGCUCCACAUGAGGCUGGCACUCAGCACAGUCUGUCCCUCUCUCCCUGCUUGCGCACACUCUGUCUCUGUUGCUCAAAAAAAUUUUUUUUAUGUAUGAAAGUUCUUAGAUAAAGGGGGAAAAAAAGAAACAGGCUCUUCUCUGUCUAGUGUUGGAGGUGGGGGAGAGGUCAUGAUGUUUGGGGCAAUGGCAGCCGUCUUGAGUGAAUGAAGGAGGGCAAGGCCUAAGUCCCAGGAUCUGGGUUUCUGCUGAUGUCAGUAAGCUGUUGAAUUACUCCGUCCCUGAUUCCCUAUCACUUCCAAGGGUGUACGAGAUAAUAAGUUCCCUUAUUCUUAAAGCCUCUUCGGGUUGGGUUUUUAUUACAGCCGAGAGCACGGCACCGAUGUGCCAAAUCCUGUAGAUGAAGUUGUUGCUUCCAAAUGGCCCUUGACGUUUCCCACCUGCCUCCUGAGUGAUGCAGAGGGACUCGCUUUCACUGGCGGGGAGGUGGGGCACGCAGGUCCUCAUCUGGCUGUUAGGCAUAGUCUGUGGCCUGGCAAUGCACUCAGGGCUCCCAGGAGGACUCCCAGGGGACCACCUGCCAGCUCCUCCAUAAUGCUCAAACUUUGCCUCUCUGGGCCUCCAUUUCCCCAUCUGUGGACUGGGGAUGGUCCUGCAGUCACCUAUUUCACAGGGUGUUAUGAAGACUAAAUGAAUUCUCUCCUUUACAGUAACAGGUGCAUUGGCAAGUGCUCAACAAACGUGAGCUGUUACUAUUAUGGCUGUUGUUAUUCCUCGGGGAGAGGGACAGAGGAACUCUGCUGACCUGGUGUGGGUGGCAGGAACAAGACUGGCAGCCUCAAGAGGGGAGACUAAGGUGGAAAGAAAGGAUUCAACCAAGGCAGGUGAGAGGUGAGCUAUUUCAGGAAGGCGGGAGGCUGAGGAACACCCUGCGUGAAGACAUGAUCGGCAGAGGCAGCAUUCAGUACCCCCACGGCGUCACCACAGCUUGGGGACCUUCCUCUCGAGACCUGGGGGGUCUUCCCACAUGCUGUAGAGCCUCCAGUGUUCAGGCUUGGGCUUCCUCCCUCACCCAUCCAGGGUCCCCAGCACCUCCACACAGUGCCCUGAAUAUCUUCUGGCCCCAGGUCCCAAACUUGACUCCCCCAGAGUGCCAGUGGGCCCUGUUGUCCCCGAUGGAUUGAGCAACUCAGGUGAGUGUGCAUUUUCCAGCUCAUGCUAACCACCAUUCAUUCAUUUCCUCUCAUGUUCAUGGAACUCUUGGUUCUUGGUCAUUUCACCAUGACCCUUCUUGUGAAGCCUCCAUGAUGCAGCCUGGAACCUGAGUCACCCUGAGAUCGCACCUCCCUUGACCUUGGUCCUGCAAGCCCCUGACCUGGUUCACAGAUGAAAACAGAAAUACUGACAAUAGUGUUGGUGAUGGUGGUGGUGAU
Molecule: long non-coding RNA, 2903 nt
Organism: Canis lupus familiaris (dog)
Lineage: Eukaryota; Metazoa; Chordata; Mammalia; Carnivora; Canidae
Exons: 3
Source: RefSeq, a predicted model, not a curated record